GGAAAUGUGCCUGAGCACCAAAGGGCCACUAUGAUAAAGUGGACACAGAGGUAUACCAGUCCUCUCAUUUCCUU
RNAcentral lists this transfer RNA (74 nucleotides) under Acrocephalus orientalis. RNAcentral's name for it is "tRNA-Ile". Lineage: Eukaryota; Metazoa; Chordata; Aves; Passeriformes; Sylviidae. The record is from RNAcentral.